UACGGGGGGGGCAAGCGUUGUUCGGAAUUACUGGGCGUAAAGGGCUCGUAGGCGGCCAACUAAGUCAGACGUGAAAUCCCUCGGCUUAACCGGGGAACUGCGUCUGAUACUGGAUGGCUUGAGUUUGGGAGAGGGAUGCGGAAUUCCAGGUGUAGCGGUGAAAUGCGUAGAUAUCUGGAGGAACACCGGUGGCGAAGGCGGCAUCCUGGACCAACACUGACGCUGAGACGCGAAAGCUAGGGGAGCGAACAGG
RNAcentral lists this ribosomal RNA (253 nucleotides) under uncultured bacterium. Its description in RNAcentral is "partial 16S ribosomal RNA". It matches the Rfam family "Bacterial small subunit ribosomal RNA", at positions 524 to 776 of the family's 1533-position model. The record is from RNAcentral.